RNAcentral lists this ribosomal RNA (394 nucleotides) under uncultured bacterium. Its description in RNAcentral is "bacterial SSU rRNA". It matches the Rfam family "Bacterial small subunit ribosomal RNA", at positions 28 to 412 of the family's 1533-position model. The record is from RNAcentral.
GACGAACGCUGGCGGUGUGCUUUAGACAUGCAAGUCGAACGAGAAAGCCCUUCGGGUUAGUAAAGUAGGCGAACGGGUGAGUAACACGUGGGCAAUCUGCCCCUCGCAGGGGGACGAACCGGAGGAAACCCCGGCUAAUACCCCGUAACGUUCAAAGGGAGGCAUCUCCCCUUGAAGAAAGGUAGCUUCGGCCAUCCGGCGAGGGAUGAGCCCGCGGUGCAUUAGCUAGUUGGUGGGGGUAACGGCCCACCAAGGCGACGAUGCAUAGCUGGUCUGAGAGGAUGAUCAGCCACACUGGGACUGAGACACGGCCCAGACUCCUACGGGAGGCAGCAGUCGGGAAUCUUGCGCAAUGGGCGAAAGCCUGACGCAGCAACACCGUGUGUGUGAGGAA